RNAcentral lists this ribosomal RNA (482 nucleotides) under uncultured bacterium. Its description in RNAcentral is "partial 16S ribosomal RNA". It matches the Rfam family "Bacterial small subunit ribosomal RNA", at positions 30 to 507 of the family's 1533-position model. The record is from RNAcentral.
AUUGAACGCUGGCGGCAUGCUUUACACAUGCAAGUCGAACGGUAACAGGCCGCAAGGUGCUGACGAGUGGCGAACGGGUGAGUAAUGCAUCGGAACGUGCCCAGUCGUGGGGGAUAACUACUCGAAAGAGUAGCUAAUACCGCAUACGAUCUAUGGAUGAAAGCGGGGGACCGUAAGGCCUCGCGCGAUUGGAGCGGCCGAUGUCAGAUUAGGUAGUUGGUGGGGUAAAGGCUCACCAAGCCAACGAUCUGUAGCUGGUCUGAGAGGACAACCAGCCACACUGGGACUGAGACACGGCCCAGACUCCUACGGGAGGCAGCAGUGGGGAAUUUUGGAUAAUGGGCGCAAGCCUGAUCCAGCAAUGCCGCGUGCAGGAAGAAGGCCUUCGGGUUGUAAACUGCUUUUGUACGGAACGAAACGGCUCUGGUUAAUACCCGGGGCUAAUGACGGUACCGUAAGAAUAAGCACCGGCUAACUACGUG